GGGUUGUGAGGUUAAGCGACUAAGCGUACACGGUGGAUGCCCUGGCAGUCAGAGGCGAUGAAGGACGUGCUAAUCUGCGAUAAGCGCCGGUAAGGUGAUAUGAACCGUUAUAACCGGCGAUUUCCGAAUGGGGAAACCCAGUGUGACUCGUCACACUAUCAUUAACUGAAUCCAUAGGUUAAUGAGGCGAACCGGGGGAACUGAAACAUCUAAGUACCCCGAGGAAAAGAAAUCAACCGAGAUUCCCCCAGUAGCGGCGAGCGAACGGGGAGGAGCCCAGAGCCUGAAUCAGCAUGUGUGUUAGUGGAAGCGUCUGGAAAGGCGCGCGAUACAGGGUGACAGCCCCGUACACAAAAGCGCAUGUGCUGUGAGCUCGAUGAGUAGGGCGGGACACGUGGUAUCCUGUCUGAAUAUGGGGGGACCAUCCUCCAAGGCUAAAUACUCCUGACUGACCGAUAGUGAACCAGUACCGUGAGGGAAAGGCGAAAAGAACCCCGGCGAGGGGAGUGAAAAAGAACCUGAAACCGUGUACGUACAAGCAGUGGGAGCACCCUUUGGGGUGUGACUGCGUACCUUUUGUAUAAUGGGUCAGCGACUUAUAUUCUGUAGCAAGGUUAACCGUAUAGGGGAGCCGUAGGGAAACCGAGUCUUAACCGGGCGUUAAGUUGCAGGGUAUAGACCCGAAACCCGGUGAUCUAGCCAUGGGCAGGUUGAAGGUUGGGUAACACUAACUGGAGGACCGAACCGACUAAUGUUGAAAAAUUAGCGGAUGACCUGUGGCUGGGGGUGAAAGGCCAAUCAAACCGGGAGAUAGCUGGUUCUCCCCGAAAGCUAUUUAGGUAGCGCCUCGUGAAUUCAUCUCCGGGGGUAGAGCACUGUUUCGGCUAGGGGGCCAUCCCGGCUUACCAACCCGAUGCAAACUGCGAAUACCGGAGAAUGUUAUCACGGGAGACACACGGCGGGUGCUAACGUCCGUCGUGAAGAGGGAAACAACCCAGACCGCCAGCUAAGGUCCCAAAGUCAUGGUUAAGUGGGAAACGAUGUGGGAAGGCCCAGACAGCCAGGAUGUUGGCUUAGAAGCAGCCAUCAUUUAAAGAAAGCGUAAUAGCUCACUGGUCGAGUCGGCCUGCGCGGAAGAUGUAACGGGGCUAAACCAUGCACCGAAGCUGCGGCAGCGACGCUGAUGCGUUGUUGGGUAGGGGAGCGUUCUGUAAGCCUGCGAAGGUGACCUGUGAGGGUUGCUGGAGGUAUCAGAAGUGCGAAUGCUGACAUAAGUAACGAUAAAGCGGGUGAAAAGCCCGCUCGCCGGAAGACCAAGGGUUCCUGUCCAACGUUAAUCGGGGCAGGGUGAGUCGACCCCUAAGGCGAGGCCGAAAGGCGUAGUCGAUGGGAAACGGGUUAAUAUUCCCGUACUUGGUGUUACUGCGAAGGGGGACGGAGAAGGCUAUGUUGGCCGGGCGACGGUUGUCCCGGUUUAAGCGUGUAGGUGUGUGUUCCAGGUAAAUCCGGUUCACUUUAACACUGAGGCGUGACGACGAGGCACUACGGUGCUGAAGCAACAAAUGCCCUGCUUCCAGGAAAAGCCUCUAAGCAUCAGGUAACAUCAAAUCGUACCCCAAACCGACACAGGUGGUCAGGUAGAGAAUACCAAGGCGCUUGAGAGAACUCGGGUGAAGGAACUAGGCAAAAUGGUGCCGUAACUUCGGGAGAAGGCACGCUGACACGUAGGUGAAGUGAUUUACUCAUGGAGCUGAAGUCAGUCGAAGAUACCAGCUGGCUGCAACUGUUUAUUAAAAACACAGCACUGUGCAAACACGAAAGUGGACGUAUACGGUGUGACGCCUGCCCGGUGCCGGAAGGUUAAUUGAUGGGGUCAGCGCAAGCGAAGCUCCUGAUCGAAGCCCCGGUAAACGGCGGCCGUAACUAUAACGGUCCUAAGGUAGCGAAAUUCCUUGUCGGGUAAGUUCCGACCUGCACGAAUGGCGUAAUGAUGGCCAGGCUGUCUCCACCCGAGACUCAGUGAAAUUGAACUCGCUGUGAAGAUGCAGUGUACCCGCGGCAAGACGGAAAGACCCCGUGAACCUUUACUAUAGCUUGACACUGAACAUUGAGCCUUGAUGUGUAGGAUAGGUGGGAGGCUUUGAAGUGUGGACGCCAGUCUGCAUGGAGCCGACCUUGAAAUACCACCCUUUAAUGUUUGAUGUUCUAACGUGGACCCGUUACCCGGGUUGCGGACAGUGUCUGGUGGGUAGUUUGACUGGGGCGGUCUCCUCCUAAAGAGUAACGGAGGAGCACGAAGGUUGGCUAAUCCUGGUCGGACAUCAGGAGGUUAGUGCAAUGGCAUAAGCCAGCUUGACUGCGAGCGUGACGGCGCGAGCAGGUGCGAAAGCAGGUCAUAGUGAUCCGGUGGUUCUGAAUGGAAGGGCCAUCGCUCAACGGAUAAAAGGUACUCCGGGGAUAACAGGCUGAUACCGCCCAAGAGUUCAUAUCGACGGCGGUGUUUGGCACCUCGAUGUCGGCUCAUCACAUCCUGGGGCUGAAGUAGGUCCCAAGGGUAUGGCUGUUCGCCAUUUAAAGUGGUACGCGAGCUGGGUUUAGAACGUCGUGAGACAGUUCGGUCCCUAUCUGCCGUGGGCGCUGGAGAACUGAGGGGGGCUGCUCCUAGUACGAGAGGACCGGAGUGGACGCAUCACUGGUGUUCGGGUUGUCAUGCCAAUGGCACUGCCCGGUAGCUAAAUGCGGAAGAGAUAAGUGCUGAAAGCAUCUAAGCACGAAACUUGCCCCGAGAUGAGUUCUCCCUGAGACUUAGAGUCUCCUGAAGGAACGUUGAAGACGACGACGUUGAUAGGCCGGGUGUGUAAGCGCAGCGAUGCGUUGAGCUAACCGGUACUAAUGAACCGUGAGGCUUAACCUUACAACGCCGAAG
RNAcentral lists this ribosomal RNA (2926 nucleotides) under Salmonella enterica subsp. enterica serovar Heidelberg. Its description in RNAcentral is "23S ribosomal RNA". It matches the Rfam family "Bacterial large subunit ribosomal RNA". The record is from RNAcentral. RNAcentral also lists the same sequence under 1 other name. Lineage: Bacteria; Pseudomonadati; Pseudomonadota; Gammaproteobacteria; Enterobacterales; Enterobacteriaceae.